RNAcentral lists this ribosomal RNA (452 nucleotides) under Escherichia coli. Its description in RNAcentral is "partial 23S ribosomal RNA". It matches the Rfam family "Bacterial large subunit ribosomal RNA", at positions 2251 to 2702 of the family's 2925-position model. Lineage: Bacteria; Pseudomonadati; Pseudomonadota; Gammaproteobacteria; Enterobacterales; Enterobacteriaceae. The record is from RNAcentral.
ACAGUGUCUGGUGGGUAGUUUGACUGGGGCGGUCUCCUCCUAAAGAGUAACGGAGGAGCACGAAGGUUGGCUAAUCCUGGUCGGACAUCAGGAGGUUAGUGCAAUGGCAUAAGCCAGCUUGACUGCGAGCGUGACGGCGCGAGCAGGUGCGAAAGCAGGUCAUAGUGAUCCGGUGGUUCUGAAUGGAAGGGCCAUCGCUCAACGGAUAAAAGGUACUCCGGGGAUAACAGGCUGAUACCGCCCAAGAGUUCAUAUCGACGGCGGUGUUUGGCACCUCGAUGUCGGCUCAUCACAUCCUGGGGCUGAAGUAGGUCCCAAGGGUAUGGCUGUUCGCCAUUUAAAGUGGUACGCGAGCUGGGUUUAGAACGUCGUGAGACAGUUCGGUCCCUAUCUGCCGUGGGCGCUGGAGAACUGAGGGGGGCUGCUCCUAGUACGAGAGGACCGGAGUGGAC